AGAGGCCCUAGUUGAUUCACUCGGCGUAAAGAGUGGUUAUGGAGAAUAAAAUACUAAAGCCGAAGGCCCCUUAGGCCGUCAUACGCACCUAGAGGCCCGAAUUAUAGACACGAAAGUAGCUUUACCCCUUCCCACCAGAACCCACGACAGCUGGGACACAAACUGGGAUUAGAUACCCCACUAUGCCCCGCCGUAAACUUAGAUAUUCCAGUACAACAAAUAUCCGCCAGGGGACUACGAGCGCCA
RNAcentral lists this ribosomal RNA (246 nucleotides) under Alosa alabamae (Alabama shad). RNAcentral describes it as "partial 12S ribosomal RNA". The record is from RNAcentral. Lineage: Eukaryota; Metazoa; Chordata; Actinopteri; Clupeiformes; Clupeidae.